RNAcentral lists this ribosomal RNA (436 nucleotides) under uncultured Streptococcus sp. RNAcentral's name for it is "bacterial SSU rRNA". It matches the Rfam family "Bacterial small subunit ribosomal RNA", at positions 945 to 1382 of the family's 1533-position model. The record is from RNAcentral. Lineage: Bacteria; Bacillati; Bacillota; Bacilli; Lactobacillales; Streptococcaceae.
UUUAAUUCGAAGCAACGCGAAGAACCUUACCAGGUCUUGACAUCCCGAUGCUAUUUCUAGAGAUAGAAAGUUACUUCGGUACAUCGGUGACAGGUGGUGCAUGGUUGUCGUCAGCUCGUGUCGUGAGAUGUUGGGUUAAGUCCCGCAACGAGCGCAACCCCUAUUGUUAGUUGCCAUCAUUCAGUUGGGCACUCUAGCGAGACUGCCGGUAAUAAACCGGAGGAAGGUGGGGAUGACGUCAAAUCAUCAUGCCCCUUAUGACCUGGGCUACACACGUGCUACAAUGGUUGGUACAACGAGUUGCGAGUCGGUGACGGCGAGCUAAUCUCUUAAAGCCAAUCUCAGUUCGGAUUGUAGGCUGCAACUCGCCUACAUGAAGUCGGAAUCGCUAGUAAUCGCGGAUCAGCACGCCGCGGUGAAUACGUUCCCGGGCCUU